This 1081-nucleotide long non-coding RNA is filed under the name Anser brachyrhynchus (Pink-footed goose). RNAcentral's name for it is "lncRNA (ENSABRG00000021740.1)". Lineage: Eukaryota; Metazoa; Chordata; Aves; Anseriformes; Anatidae. The record is from RNAcentral.
CACUGUUGGGUAGCAAUGAACCUGUGGUUUUAGGAGUCCUUCAUCAGGAGUGGGUCCUGCUGGUGCCAGAGCAGCCCCAGGAAGGAGUCACUGACCACCAGGAACAAGGAUGGGAUGUGGCUGCAUGUGUAAGGUAAGGGAAUAGUCCUGAUGGGACCUAUGGUAAGCUUUCCCUCCAAGACAAAUGGCAGCAUGAGAUCCCCUAUAAAGAGAUCAGGGAUGAAAAGGGAAGAUGCUUAAAAAUGGCAUCUUGUCCUAGAGAGGGAGCAGUGAAGGGGCAAUAGGAUGAGGAAGGUCACCUGCGUGGGAGAAGCAGCCCUAUUUGGCAGAUGGACCCCGCCUGGGGCCAUGGGCAUGAGCUUUUGGGAAUGGAGGUUGCCACGAGUGAUAAGAAUUCUAAACGAAGGGAGCAUAGUCACGAAGUCCGUGUAUCCUCCAAAUCUACAUUUCCUAUAGAAACCCCAGAUGUGAAAGGGUAAAACAGUAGAUGAAAAGGGAGAAGAGAAAGAAAGACGAUGAGAAAAAUGAAGACUAAUAUGGAUAACAGCAGAAGUCUUGCAGGGAUGUUCCAGAGCUGUGGCCCAGGGAUGCACUGCGGGGUACAAGAAGAUACUGAUUUGACCACCCAAAUGAACACCUUUAUCAACUCUAACAUUGUUCGGUGCACAACUUGUCAUCUGGUCAUCCAGAAAUUUCCUUCCUCCCUCCCUCCCUCCCUCCCUCCCUCCCUCCCUCCCUUCCUUCCUUUCCUUCCUUUCCUUCCUUCCUUUCCUUCCUUUUUCAGGAACUAGCAGUGAAAAUACUACAGCAGCCUAGAAAGUGGCAGAAACAUCAAAUACCUUGUGCAUCUAAAUCACCUGGCUUAAGAGAAAAUUAUAGAAAAGGCAAACUAUAAUAAGAUGCUUCUCUACUAGCAAAAAAAGAUCAUCUACUAAAGUGAGGGUCUGGACAGGGACCAAGCCAAUACCACAGGCAGGUAGCAAUAGAGGAAAAACCCGCUGUGAAAUAUUUCAUUUUUGUGAUUCUUUAACAAUUUACAGAAGAAAUGUCACAUAAUAGAAGUUUGGCUUUCUUUUGGGAG